Molecule: ribosomal RNA, 267 nt
Filed under: uncultured bacterium
Lineage: Bacteria
Description: partial 16S ribosomal RNA
Rfam family: Bacterial small subunit ribosomal RNA
Source: RNAcentral
AGUUCCUACGGGGGGCAGCAGUGAGGAAUAUUGGUCAAUGGUCGGGAGACUGAACCAGCCAAGCCGCGUGAGGGAUGAAGGUACAGAGUAUCGUAAACCUCUUUUGUCAGGGAACAAAGGCGGGGACGUGUCCCCGGAUGAGUGUACCUGAAGAAAAAGCAUCGGAUAACUCCGUGCCAGCAGCCGCGGUAAUACGGAGGAUGCGAGCGUUAUCCGGAUUUAUUGGGUUUAAAGGGUGCGCAGGCGGUCUGGUAAGGUAGGGGUCAA